This is a long non-coding RNA of Atta colombica, 1952 nucleotides long. RefSeq lists it as uncharacterized. The transcript has 2 exons. The record is from RefSeq and is a predicted model, not a curated record. NCBI's taxonomy places the organism in Eukaryota, Metazoa, Arthropoda, Insecta, Hymenoptera, Formicidae.
GACGCGUAAACGUGCCGCGCGCGCGGCGAGAAACUCCGACCGCGAAUUCCCCCGGCGGCGGUCUCACUCGCACGGUGACGUCAUUGGCGCCUAAACGCGUCGCCGUGGGGAUACCCGCCGCGUCUCGCCGCGUUCUCUUCUUCAAGAGUGUCUCCCUCCCAAGAGAGAGAGAUCGGUAGCCGAUCUACCGACGCGACCUCGUUUAUAGCAAAAAUCGUGUACCAGGACGAUCGUCGACGAUCCGUAUGACGCUCGUCCAAACUUUCAAAGUCCAACACUUUCACCUCGAUAUUAUUCCAACGUAGUUUGAUCUACGAUCGAUCGGCACACCUCUCACUCCUCGUGGUCGCUCUCGUACUCGCGUGAUAACACUUGACUACUGUUUCAUUCAUUCGAUCGAUAGCUGGAGAUGAAUGUCGAUUCGAUCCGGAAUGGAUCGCGAGACGCUCCUUGACGAUUCACCGCUCCGAUCGACACUUCCGCAUGUUCUCCAUCCGAGGGUAACGUUCGCGAAUCUCCCGGUUUCGCGAACUCUUCGGUAUCUUGAAAUUUUUAACCGCCGAUGGAAGCCGAGAUACAAGUUUCCCUCGUGUAACGACCGGCGUGACCAAAGUCACGCUUUCCCGCUCUCGAUCGCGAUCGAUCGGAAUUCUCUCGGAUUUUCCUCCUGCUCCUCUUUCUUGCCACGCGCGAAUUCUCCACUAUUAACGAUGUUGCACGCCCGUUACAGUCUCUCCUCGUUCUCUAAAGAUCCCGUGAGUCUUUACUAAAAGAUCGUACACUUGUACACUUUUUCUCACACGCGUCACAUUAUUCUCAAUCGCGAUCUCUUCUCCUGCUCGCGAUCUCGAGUCACUCCCGUCAAUCCUGCUUUGUCUGCCACAGUUGGUGUUGGCGCGCGAAAGUUGACUUUUCUCAACGACGAUCACUUCCAGAUUUCUCCCUUACGUUUUUCCUCUCCAUCCCCCCCCCCCCCUGUGAUCCGUGCGAGUCGCUCCGUUUCACCUGCGUUCACCCGCGUUGCUGUCAACAAGUGUGAUUCCUCGCGAACGCGAACGGUCGACACACACAUACACCCACACACAUACACACACGCACUAUGCGCGAUCCACGGUGUCGCGUUGCGGUGUCGCGCGCCGCACGACGCACCUCCUGACGGCGUUGUUAUUGUUGCGUAACUGACGGGCCCCGUAUAGCUGGCUGGCUCCGCAGCCGCGCCGCGAGACAGAGUGUAUGGAUGAAGUAGUGGUCGGGAGGAGAGAGGCGUGAAGGGGAAGCUAAGAGAAAAGGACGGAGAGAGAGAGAGAGAGAGAGAGAGAGAGAGAGAGAGAGAAGGAAGAGAGGAUCGGGAGGACGAGGGUAGCCCCCGUGGGUGAGCCAGUGGGCGAAUACGCAACGAGAGAGAGAGCGUGCGAGCAGUGCGCCGUCUGGCGUGGUUGGCGACAGUCUACUGCCUUCCGAGAACCACGAGGCGAUUCCGUGUAUCGAACGCGCACCGAGGACCGUCGACGAUGGUAGUAGGGGAGACGGGAUCGGCGCGCGAUUCUCUGGAUUCGAGCGCUCGGCGCCGUUUGCGGCGAGGGUCAAAGGCGCAACGGCGAGCGAGGACGUUUUACUUAAGGUCACUGUGUUAACCGUGCCGCGAGGAUUUCAUUAACGCCUCGAUCGCGACCAGCUGGCGCGCGCGGAUGGAGAAGGAUGAUGUUCUCGGGACACUUAAUAGACCAGACGAACAGCCUCUCUCGGCCGGACGAGGUACUCCGUUCGAUAUGAACGCCUCGAUGAGCGAUUCAGCGUAAAGGGUCAUGCAGCGGAAUACAACGACAAGGAUACAUCUGCGCCCUUCUAAGUUUUCAAGGAGAAAGAGAGGGAUUUCAUUGAAAAGUAAUACCGACCGUAUUGCAUCUAAACUCAAAUGUAUAUAUGCAUUGAAAAUUCUAGUAAUGCACAAA